AGAGUUUGAUCAUGGCUCAGAUUGAACGCUAGCGGCAGGCCUAACACAUGCAAGUCGAGGGGUAGUUACUUUCGGGUAAUGAGACCGGCGCACGGGUGCGUAACGCGUAUGCAAUCUACCUUUUACAGGGGAAUAGCCCAGAGAAAUUUGGAUUAAUGCCCCAUAGUAUGUAUGAAUCGCAUGGUUUAUACAUUAAAGUUCCAACGGUAAAAGAUGAGCAUGCGUCCCAUUAGUUAGUUGGUAAGGUAACGGCUUACCAAGACUAUGAUGGGUAGGGGUCCUGAGAGGGAGAUCCCCCACACUGGUACUGAGACACGGACCAGACUCCUACGGGAGGCAGCAGUGAGGAAUAUUGGACAAUGGGCGCAAGCCUGAUCCAGCCAUGCCGCGUGCAGGAAGAAGCAUCUAUGGUGUGUAAACUGCUUUUGUACAGGAAGAAACACUCCCUCGUGAGGGAGCUGACGGUACGUA
Molecule: ribosomal RNA, 471 nt
Filed under: uncultured Flavobacterium sp.
Lineage: Bacteria; Pseudomonadati; Bacteroidota; Flavobacteriia; Flavobacteriales; Flavobacteriaceae
Description: bacterial SSU rRNA
Rfam family: Bacterial small subunit ribosomal RNA
Source: RNAcentral